CAAAUCUUGAAUGCCUUCUUGUACUCAUUCCCCUUCAUACACAGUUUCGUCUAAAUUAUUUAUUUGGCAAAAUGUUAUCUGCAUCAUUUCAUAGUCAUCAAACAUUAUAUUUCCUGGGAAUUUGCGGUCAAUGUAUGAAUUUGUUACAAAUUCGCAGGUCCAGUUAUCGUGGCGCCCCCUUCAGCAAGUUUGCCAGCUGAUAAUGCAGAAACUUCACCCACGCCGUUAAGUCUGACACGG
This 240-nucleotide unclassified non-coding RNA is filed under the name Hevea brasiliensis (rubber tree). Lineage: Eukaryota; Viridiplantae; Streptophyta; Magnoliopsida; Malpighiales; Euphorbiaceae. The record is from RNAcentral.